ACGUCGGUUGGUGGCCCCGUCUGGGACCGAACCGGGCACCGCCUUGUGAAAAAAAAAGAAUAGAAUAUACCCUGUUAAAUCAGACAUGAUACUUGCUUUUGUGGAGCUUAUGCUUUAGUGCAGAAACAGAAAGUCAAGCAAAAACUCAAACUAUGUAACUUUAAAUUGGAUAUGUGCUAAUGAAGGAAAAUGUGGCACUGUAAGAAAAAAUAAUAGGGAGUUAAAGGAUAAAUAGGAAUUUGCUGGAUGAAAUUUAUGAAGGGCUGAAGAUUUCAAACAAAAGAAACUGAUGCAGAAGGGUGCAGCUUUGGAGUCAAGAAUGAAGUUCUAGGAGAUAAGAGAGCAAGGAAAUGGUGGGAGAGGAGGUCAAAGUUCUUUCCUCCAGCUCACUUUAUUGUAAGAAGCUUGGUGUCUGUAAUCGACUCGGAACCCUUGCUGCUCUUUCACUGAAUAUCGCUGUCUGGAGGUUACUUGGUACACUGGUCGACAAAACCUUGAAAUGUUGAUGUUUAAGGGCUGUUGAUUGCUGGCAACAAAGAAGUCCAACUGUGCUGGUACCCGAGAUAGCGUCUCCACAUUUUCUUCCAGGAUCAUCACCUUUGUUGUAAAUAGCUCCCACAUAGUGUGAACAGAAGUCAUAUGUUUUAGAUUUUCUGCCUUGGCACCCAGG
Molecule: long non-coding RNA, 670 nt
Filed under: Pan troglodytes (chimpanzee)
Lineage: Eukaryota; Metazoa; Chordata; Mammalia; Primates; Hominidae
Description: lincRNA
Source: RNAcentral